AUUUUGUCUCGAUUGUAAGAAGAGUCUUACAGUAGCAAAGAUGAGUUCAUAUGGUUUGGUUGAGGAAUUUUAAGUGCUAACGUGUGGGUGUAUGAAAAUCUAAUCUUUAGUUUCCUUGUAUAUAUUGAAUAGCAAUUUUUUUAUUCGUUUUUUAAAAUCAUCUAAGACAUCUGUCAAUUAACAUAAGAAAUAUUGGGAGCCAUGACUUUGCAGGAUGCUUUGUUCAAUAAUGAUAAAAAAGUAAGGACACCUUUUACUAUCAUGUGUCCACAUAUGGCUUUAGGAGACAACACGCUUGGUCCGGCUCAAAGUUCCUCUGUCUCCGUAGAGGUUCAAGUGGAUGAUAUGAGGUAUGCUUUUAUCAAACUGGUACAUCAAGGUAUGGUCACUUUACAAGUGCUCCCAAUAUCAAUUAUAAAGGGUACAGUUUUAGUAACUUGAAUCCAUCAAAACAUUUAUAUCAGUUUAUAGAAAAGGUUUGUUAAUGGUAUUUUACCAUACACAUCGGGAAAAAAAAUUCAAUGUGCUCUACUGCUACUUGUAUUUUGUCUCAAUUCCAAGAAGAGUUUUACAGUAGAAAAGAUGAUAAAAACCAGAAUAUUUCCUCCCUAAUUGUCCUUAUGGGUCUGGGAGGGGAAUUUUUAAUGAUAAUGUUUGGGUGACUGGGUGUAUAAAAAUCUGAGUUUUACUUCAUUUAUAUAUCUUCUGUUAUAUUUUUGACAUACGUAAACGAUUGUGGUCAAGGAAUCAAGUGAUUCUAUGGAAAAAUCUGGUACUUGGACACCUCUUACUCCAGGAAAGCCUAUUUUCGCUACAUUAAGACAUAGCCAUGAGUCGGCAUUUAUUUCUGAAAAAGGGACUAUAAAAGAAAUUAUAAUUGAGGCAUCUCCGUCUAUAGAGUUAUAUGAUUCUAAUAGAUAUUUAAAAAAAGAGUCUGCAAAACAUUUAGAGAUUAUUGGCGGCUGUUGAGUGAUGAAUGAUACAAGUAGGUAAACUAUGUGUCUGAUAAAGUCAUAAGAAGAGAGCAUCCGAAGGUAGGUUUUGUCCCAAAAUAUAGUAUUGUCCCCUUUAUCUUAACACAUAAUUGGGUUUAGGGACAAAGAUGUGUUUUGGUUGCUUCUUUGAAGCCCGUGUCAUUUCAGGUUGAGCUUGAAAUCGGCCUCAAAGAACUGCUGUCCCCACCGGAGGUGCGGCAUCCCUAACGAGGAAUACAUUAUCAGCCCAAAUACGAUAACCAUCAUGUGAACCAUUCACAUUCCAACAACCGGCCUAUCAGAGAAGAAGAUUAAAAGAUUAUAGUCACGGCUGGUGCAUCGUCACUAACCAGGAAUACAUUACCAGCCCAAAUACAAGACCCGUCAUCUGAAAUAUUCAAUCGGCCUAAUAGAAAAGAAGACCAGAAGGCAUGCUAAAUUUAUGAUUCAGUUGCACAUAUGAAGGCUGUUGGAAAGGCUUUUGAAUCUAAGCAAAAGACUAUGCAGCCUAUAACAUUUAAGGCUCGAGGUUGAGAUUAC
Molecule: long non-coding RNA, 1514 nt
Organism: Erigeron canadensis
Lineage: Eukaryota; Viridiplantae; Streptophyta; Magnoliopsida; Asterales; Asteraceae
Exons: 5
Source: RefSeq, a predicted model, not a curated record